This 608-nucleotide ribosomal RNA is filed under the name Mycobacterium tuberculosis. RNAcentral describes it as "bacterial SSU rRNA". It matches the Rfam family "Bacterial small subunit ribosomal RNA", at positions 800 to 1408 of the family's 1533-position model. Lineage: Bacteria; Bacillati; Actinomycetota; Actinomycetes; Mycobacteriales; Mycobacteriaceae. The record is from RNAcentral.
CCGUAAACGAUGUCGAUUUGGAGGUUUUGCCCUUGAGGCGUGGCUUCCGGAGCUAACGCGUUAAAUCGACCGCCUGGGGAGUACGGCCGCAAGGUUAAAACUCAAAUGAAUUGACGGGGGCCCGCACAAGCGGUGGAGCAUGUGGUUUAAUUCGAUGCAACGCGAAGAACCUUACCUGGUCUUGACAUCCACAGAACUUUCCAGAGAUGGAUUGGUGCCUUCGGGAACUGUGAGACAGGUGCUGCAUGGCUGUCGUCAGCUCGUGUUGUGAAAUGUUGGGUUAAGUCCCGCAACGAGCGCAACCCUUAUCCUUUGUUGCCAGCGGUUAGGCCGGGAACUCAAAGGAGACUGCCAGUGAUAAACUGGAGGAAGGUGGGGAUGACGUCAAGUCAUCAUGGCCCUUACGACCAGGGCUACACACGUGCUACAAUGGCAUAUACAAAGAGAAGCGACCUCGCGAGAGCAAGCGGACCUCAUAAAGUAUGUCGUAGUCCGGAUUGGAGUCUGCAACUCGACUCCAUGAAGUCGGAAUCGCUAGUAAUCGUAGAUCAGAAUGCUACGGUGAAUACGUUCCCGGGCCUUGUACACACCGCCCGUCACACCAUGGG